CUAUUUUCAACUGGAUCAUAGGUUAUUUUUUAACCUAUGGGAAAGAUAUUAUCAAAUAGGAAAAGUCUCAUAUUUCUUAACGGUUUCAUAUUAAUGUUAUACUGGCUGGUCUACAGCAAACUAUUUUUAAGCAGAGCUUUUGAGUACCUUGGCUAACAGCAGCCCUGUAUCACUGGAGCAUGCUGACUUUCGUCAUCCAAUGUACCACUAGUCUCCAUUUAAAGAUUUGUAGGUUCUUUUUAUUUUGCCAA
RNAcentral lists this long non-coding RNA (251 nucleotides) under Bos taurus (domestic cattle). RNAcentral describes it as "long non-coding RNA NONBTAT019464". The record is from RNAcentral. Lineage: Eukaryota; Metazoa; Chordata; Mammalia; Artiodactyla; Bovidae.